This 439-nucleotide ribosomal RNA is filed under the name uncultured bacterium. Its description in RNAcentral is "partial 16S ribosomal RNA". It matches the Rfam family "Bacterial small subunit ribosomal RNA", at positions 339 to 795 of the family's 1533-position model. The record is from RNAcentral.
CUACGGGAUGCUCCAGUGGGGAAUAUUGCACAAUGGAGGAAACUCUGAUGCAGCAACGCCGCGUGGAGGAUGACACUUUUCGGAGCGUAAACUCCUUUUAUAUAGGAAGAAGAUGACGGUACUAUAUGAAUAAGCGCCGGCUAACUCCGUGCCAGCAGCCGCGGUAAUACGGAGGGCGCAAGCGUUACUCGGAAUCACUGGGCGUAAAGAGCGUGUAGGCGGAUUAAAAAGUCAGAAGUGAAAUCCUAUAGCUUAACUAUAGAACUGCUUCUGAAACUCUUAAUCUAGAAUGUGGGAGAGGUAGAUGGAAUUUCUGGUGUAGGGGUAAAAUCCGUAGAGAUCAGAAGGAAUACCGAUUGCGAAGGCGAUCUACUAGAACAUUAUUGACGCUGGGACGCGAAAGCGUGGGGAGCAAACAGGAUUAGAUACCCUAGUAGUC